Molecule: ribosomal RNA, 164 nt
Filed under: uncultured bacterium
Lineage: Bacteria
Description: partial 16S rRNA
Rfam family: Bacterial small subunit ribosomal RNA
Source: RNAcentral
UAGGGAAUCUUCCACAAUGGACGAAAGUCUGAUGGAGCAACGCCGCGUGAGUGAAGAAGGGUUUCGGCUCGUAAAACUCUGUUGUCAAAGAAGAACAUAUCUGAGAGUAACUGUUCAGGUAUUGACGGUAUUUAACCAGAAAGCCACGGCUAACUACGUGCCUG